GACGAACGCUGGCGGCGUGCUUAACACAUGCAAGUCGAACGAAGUGGCGAACGGGUGAGUAACGCGUAAUCAACCUGCCCUUCAGAGGGGGACACCAGUUGGCAACGACUGCUAAUACCGCAUACUGAAGGAGGGGCUUGCGUCAGAUGAGUUAGUUGGAGGGGUCAAGGCCCACCAGGGCGAUGAUCAGUAGCCGGACUGAGAGGAUGAACGGCGAAAUUGGGACUGAGACACGGCGCAGACUCUGACGGGAGGCAUCAGGGGGGAGUCUUCCGGAAUGGACGAAAGUCUGACGGGGCAACGCGGCGUGAGUGAUGACGGCCUUCGGGUUGUAAGGCUCUGUUAAUCGGGACGCGGGACCGGAAUAGAAAGCCACGGCUAACUACGUGCCAGCAGCCGCGGUAAUUC
This 408-nucleotide ribosomal RNA is filed under the name uncultured bacterium. Its description in RNAcentral is "partial 16S ribosomal RNA". It matches the Rfam family "Bacterial small subunit ribosomal RNA", at positions 28 to 526 of the family's 1533-position model. The record is from RNAcentral.